GUUGGUGUAGUAUAAUAUAAUACAUCUGUUUUAAGCGCAGAAGCUUUAUCUCCAACU
This 57-nucleotide transfer RNA is filed under the name Strongyloides fuelleborni fuelleborni. RNAcentral describes it as "tRNA-Leu". The record is from RNAcentral. Lineage: Eukaryota; Metazoa; Nematoda; Chromadorea; Rhabditida; Strongyloididae.